Vicia faba (fava bean) is the source of this 282-nucleotide non-coding RNA. The record is from the annotation of a GenBank genome assembly. Lineage: Eukaryota; Viridiplantae; Streptophyta; Magnoliopsida; Fabales; Fabaceae.
AUGAAGGAAGGUCAAAAUAAGGUAAACAAUAAACAUGAAAAAGAGGAUAUUAAGGAUCUUACAGGGAAGACGGGGAAGAAUGGCGAAGCAAAAGCAAAAGCUGAAGAGCACAAGUGGUCUGGAAAAUGCACUGAUGAUUUUGAGGAUCAACCAACAGGGAACCAAAUAAGGUUUAGGCCGGAGAAGUGGAGCGCCGUUGACCGCAGUAGAAGCUCUGGUUUAGGGUUUUUUCGUGAAGAAAAUCUGACUGAGAAUAGAAAAGUGAUACGAAUUGUGUUUUGA